RNAcentral lists this unclassified non-coding RNA (275 nucleotides) under Trichoderma lixii. RNAcentral's name for it is "partial internal transcribed spacer region". The stretch from base 1 to 46 matches the Rfam family "Eukaryotic small subunit ribosomal RNA", at positions 1786 to 1831 of the family's 1831-position model. Lineage: Eukaryota; Fungi; Ascomycota; Sordariomycetes; Hypocreales; Hypocreaceae. The record is from RNAcentral.
AAGUCGUAACAAGGUCUCCGUUGGUGAACCAGCGGAGGGAUCAUUACCGAGUUUACAACUCCCAAACCCGAUGUGAACGUUACCAAACUGUUGCCUCGGCGGGAUCUCUGCCCCGGGUGCGUCGCAGCCCCGGACCAAGGCGCCCGCCGGAGGACCAACCAAAACUCUUUUUGUAUACCCCCUCGCGGGUUUUUUAUAAUCUGAGCCUUCUCGGCGCCUCUCGUAGGCGUUUCGAAAAUGAAUCAAAACUUUCAACAACGGAUCUCUUGGUUCUG